Long non-coding RNA from Daphnia pulicaria, 1116 nucleotides. RefSeq lists it as uncharacterized. Lineage: Eukaryota; Metazoa; Arthropoda; Branchiopoda; Diplostraca; Daphniidae. The record is from RefSeq and is a predicted model, not a curated record. The transcript is spliced from 2 exons.
CACGCCACGUUCAUUCAUGUCGGGAGAACAAGAUGGAGAGUGUUGUCGAAAUUUGGCCCCAUCUUACAGGUGGUAAGAACGCUUCGCUAAACGUUUUACCCACAGCUUUAGUGACAGCAAAGUGGUUCGGGAAAGACUCUCCCUGAUGCAAUCAUUCCGUAACGGCUGUGAUGAUUCAUUUGCAAACGAAUCAUCCGACGUGAAUUGAAAUCGUUUAACGAAACCAUUUAGAAGUUCUAAAUGGAUUGGAGUUUUGUUGUGUCCGCGUCAAUUGGUAACAUGGAAGCGGUGGGUUCAAAUCACUGUUGGAAGCCCAUCAGGAUUGGGAGGAACAAUAUCAUGUUUAAAGUUAAAAUUCUCAUGCUUAAUGCUUAAGACCUUAGCAAACUGCGCGAAGCUAAGACGCGUUUUCAUUAAUUCGAUUCGUUGACACAAUUCAAUGUUUUGAUCGGUUGUAGUGCUUUCUUUAUCGCGGAUAAGAAAGUCAUAGAACGUCGUUUUUUUACUGGUGUGUGUUCUUUCCUUCCGUCUGUGUUUUGUGUGUCAGCGUCAAUUGGCAAUAUGGAAGCGAUGGGUUCAAAUCUCUGUUGGUAAUCCAACAGGAAUUUUCAGUUGGGAGUCGAACAUUGGUCCAAGUGUGACUACAUUUUGAUUUCUAACUGCGAGUAACGUGUUGGACUCCCAACGUCAAAAGCGCACAGGACGCGGGCAUAAAAAAUAAGUACUCUAUUGGUGGUUAUUUUGGGCUUUGGGUUUUUUGGGCUUCGGGCACACACCAUGCCUAUUUUUCCUUUUUUUUUUCACAAGAUGGUUUUCUAAAUCCCUAAAAAUGUAUUUUAAAAUCAGCAAUUUCAUUUUCAUUUCAUUGAUCAUAUGACUGUAGACUGUACAUAUUAAGUUUGAAAAACAUUACGUGAUCAAAAAUUAAUUUCAGGUAUGAAAAACCUUAAAACCCUACAACUUGUGGAGCCUGAAAACGAAUUUUCGCAGUACUCGGUAUGUGCUUUGUCCUGUCAGUGGUGUGUUUUUGUGCAUGUUGGUGCUUUUAUUAGUAUUGAUGUUAGACCCGUUGGGGCACCAUUGGCGUAGGAUUAGUUUAGUUAGUGUAGGGCCAAU